AACCAUUCACCGAGUAUAAAAGCACACCAUUUGCACAUUAUCCACACACCAUCGACCUGCGCCCCAGAAGUAUUGUUACCGAGAAGUUUUCGUCUUCACAAUGAAACUUGUUACCGCUAUUAUUUUGUUGACUGCUGUUGUCUGUGUUAAUACCCAUGGACCCCACGACAAGAUGGAACAAAUGUUAUGUGAUAGUGGAGACCCGAAUAUCAAGAACGCUUUGAAAUUUUGCUGGAGGUUGGAGCCUGCAGAGUACAAAAGCAUAUUCAAUAAAUGCCGAAAGGACCUGGAUGCUGAGACCGACGAAACACUAUGUGCUAAGUGGGAUGAGGUAAGUAGAUAGUUAA
This is a long non-coding RNA of Limulus polyphemus (Atlantic horseshoe crab), 347 nucleotides long. RefSeq lists it as uncharacterized. Lineage: Eukaryota; Metazoa; Arthropoda; Merostomata; Xiphosura; Limulidae. The record is from RefSeq and is a predicted model, not a curated record. The transcript is spliced from 3 exons.